CGCACAUUGCGCCCCUUGGUAUUCCGAGGGGCAUGCCUGUUCGAGCGUCAUUAAAAGAAGUUCAAGCUCCGGCUUGGGAUUGGGCGUCGUCCCCGCAGCGGACGCGCCCCAAAGACAUCGGCGGCGGCAUCACGGGCCUCAAGCGUAGUAGAAUCUUCCACCCGCUUACGGAGGCCCUGGACCGCCCGCUACUAGAAACCUCACACAUCAAAGGUUGACCUCGGAUCAGGUAGGGAUACCCGCUGAACUUAA
RNAcentral lists this unclassified non-coding RNA (252 nucleotides) under Hymenoscyphus waikaia. RNAcentral describes it as "partial contains 5.8S ribosomal RNA, internal transcribed spacer 2, and large subunit ribosomal RNA". Lineage: Eukaryota; Fungi; Ascomycota; Leotiomycetes; Helotiales; Helotiaceae. The record is from RNAcentral.